This 7366-nucleotide long non-coding RNA is filed under the name Nicotiana tabacum (common tobacco). RNAcentral's name for it is "long non-coding RNA (NTAB_LNC013229)". Lineage: Eukaryota; Viridiplantae; Streptophyta; Magnoliopsida; Solanales; Solanaceae. The record is from RNAcentral.
CCCAACCCCAACCUCACCCCCACACCCAACCCCAACCCCAUCCACAACCCCAGGGUUCUGAAGGACCAGUAUAUGAAUAUGCAGGACAAAGGUUGAAGAUAGAACCAGGACAUGAAUUAUGUUAUCAAAAAUGUUAUCAAGGUAUUUUUGCUGGUGAAGGUAGUCCAUUAUAUGCAGAAAAAGAAUGCUACGAUAUGUGCCAUAACAAUGGUAAAUUUGUAUUUCCAAACUUUAGUCCUCCACCUUGCGCGAACAAGGUUUAAUCAACGUGUAUAGAAACAAUUACUCCCUCGAUCUAUUCUUUCACUUUAUAUCGCGGCAUUACUAUUUAGGGAGUCAAAAAAGACGUUCUUCUUUGACCACACUUUUAUGGAGGCAAGUAAUUUUUUUAAUUCCAUGCCAUAUUAAUUAACCAACAAAGAAUCUUUUUUAUAAUUAUGGCGUGACAUGUAUAGUCACACUCUAUAAAUAUAUAUAUUCUUUUGUGUUGGUGAUCAUUUGUAAUUGUAACAGAUAUGUCAUCAAUUUACUGAUUUGUGUUAUAUUAUUUUAUGUGGUUACAUACUUACAUUUGUUUAAUAAUGCGAAUUAAGUGUUGGGAACGUGCAAUCUAGGUGUGCAAUGGGUGUUUUUUUUUCUUUUUUUUGGGGGGAUUCUUAUUAAUGUCUUUGUUUUAGGAGAUCAAUUUUUAUGGCACAUUAAAAAUAUUAUUUUGGUUAUAUGACGGUGUUUACAGGAAAUUGAUAAAUCAAAUUGGCAAGGUCCAUGAGAAUGUCCAAAAUGGAUAUUAGUUAAACUCAUAUUUUAAGAGUUCUUAAAUUUCACCUCUUGUUUUUCUCUCAACAAGAGUGUUUAUCCUCAAAAUCGGAUAACAAUUGAAUUUGUAAGUGGCUUUUAGGAUACGCGGAUUAAUUUGAUACAAAGUGAUAAAUUAAGUUGCAAUUUAAAUAAACAAUGAUAAAGUAAAUUCAAACCACAAGAAUUUGAUAGUUUUAAUCUCGGAAGGUUAGCCACCCUCGAGCCAGAUGCACUUUGAUCAAUAUCACGAUACAGAAGAACAAGAGUUUAAAGAGAAAAAUAAUAAUGUAUUAUUUUGGAAUGCGUAUUACAAUGUGUUAAAUGAAUCAUCAAACCCCAUUUAUAUAGUAGAGAAGUCCUAUAUUUGGUACAAUUCUAUAAAAGGUAAGAAAUCUCUUGAUUUGCCGAUUGCCAAUUCCUCAUUGAUACGUGCCGAGAUUCUCACCGCAAUAUCCGACCGGUCACGGAUAUUUCGGUCUUCUGUUAUGCCAACAAUGUUUCUUCGAGCUCGUUCGGGGCUAGGAUCGAUUCAGGGAUCACGAUCUCGAUAUUCUCGAAGGCGGGCGUUCCAACCCCGAGUUCUAGCCCGGUGAGACCUGGGGUCGAUCUUAAGUUCUUUUUUGCCAUAUUCCGAACCUGACUUACCAUGUCGUAAGCGAGCUCAAUUUCGACCAUAUAUAGAUAGUCCCCUCAUUUUUCGGAGAGUAGACGACGAGAAAUGACAUGAGCUUCCGAUUCUUACUUCGAUACCCCGUGAUAGAAAUGACAAAACAUACGAAACGUCUCGUGAGUUAAGUCUCAAUGGCAUUAAAUGCAUGUCAGCCGCCGGUCGGCCAUUACUGGAUGUGAACAGCCACUGAAAUACUAGAAAUACCUCUUCUUUUAUUCAUUCCAACUUUACAUUCAAACCUUCUACCCUCGUAUUUUCAAAAUUUCAAUACUUUCUAGCAGUUAUACUUCGGUUAUUUGAGAUCCUUUGCAAGAACCCUUGUUCAUUUCUAUCUUAAGCCAUCAAGUUUACUCCUUUAACUUCCUCAUUUUCUUCAUUUUCCCUCAAUUUUCAAAGAAAUAGCGAAGACUUCAAAAAUCGUUCCCCAAAAAGAAACUCCCUCUACCUCGCGGCCGGUUACCGAGGAGACCGUUUCGCGUACCGCUAUCGAGAAACCAGUACCGGAACCCCCAUUGAAAAUAUUCGUCCCUGGAGGAUGAUAGGUAAUCGACGAUUUCAAGGUUUAAAACCUUCCCCCAUACAAGGCCGGUGUGAGGAGGUCUCGAGAUACAUAUGCUCGAUCACUGAAGAAGUCCUCCAUACAGUCAAAAAGGAUUGCAAUUGAGUUGACAAGCACGUGGUAGCUCCCGGACCCGAUGAAGACAUCACCACCCACGUUGAGGGAUACUUAAGUGCUUACACUUAUCCCUUUACACUGGGCCCAUUAGAUCCGGUCAUCAUCGACUUCUCCAAAAGAUAUGGGGUAUGCCUCAGUCAAAUUCACCCCUCAUUCUGGAGGAUCGUGAUCCUUCUUUGAUUCUUCAUGAGAAAGAUUGAUGGAUUCCCGCUCACCAUCGACUACCUCAUGCGCCUAUACAGUCCCCGAAUCUUUCGGGGGGGGUGGGGGUGGGGCUGAUCAAGCUCGCACGUUGGGCCAGUAAAGCCCCAUUCUCGAGUAUUGAUGAAGAUCAGGAUCGAGGCUGGCUAGGCCGUUUCGUCCAAGUGAGGACCUCGGACUUGAUUGAUGGUAGGUUAUAAUCCCGUAUUUUAGUCAUUUAUUGUACUCUAAUUAACUACACUUUACUUAUGUUGAGCUUUAAUUAGUAGUGUUUUUGUACUUAUUGUGUGUUUUAUGCUUUGUAGGAGUGAUUCCGAGUUAUGUAGAUGUUGUGGAGCUAAUUCGAGCUAUUUGGCGCUUUGAAGUUUGAGUAAAAGCCCAAACAAUUAAGCCGGGAUCGAGUCCAUGGCCGAGGAUUGAGUAUGUAUUUAAAAAGUAAAAGAAAUAAGAAUAGAAAACAUGAGUGGAGGUAAUAAUGACUUGCAAAUUAAAAGUUAGCAAGAUACUUUGUGUCUGCCAACACGCCAAACUUUUGAGCAAUUCAAACAAAUAAAAAAAGGGCACAACAACGUGAUGUCACACUUUUUUUUAGGCCAAAACGAACAACCCUCUACUUUUGUCCACAGCCGCGCCGCAUGGGGCACGACGCGGCGCGACAGUGCAAAAUAUAGCCAGAAUUGAUUUUUCAAAGUGUUUUGGAAUUCUCUACAGGCACGCCGCAUGGAACGGAGUGGGGCGCGAUGCGGUAGCACAAAAAUAUUUGAGUGACUUCCCAUUUCCGCUAAAAAGGGUAGUUUCGUCUAGUGUUUUUUUGGGCGCGGCUUAAAUACACCAAAACACCAUUUUAGAUGGAUACUUUUGACACAAUUUCGACCUAAGGAGGCUAAGGAGGAGUUGGAAGAACACAAGCACAAGAAUUUCAUCAUUCCUUCCUCACUCAAGAUCCAGGUUUGGAUUGAAUUUAUGUUUUCCUAUACUUUAGUUACAUUUGUGAAGAACUUCUCCAUGUCUAUGGAGUAUAUCCUUUUGGGUUUUGAUGGAUUUGGUGUAUUGAUGAUUAUUUCUGUAUUAUAACUCUAUUUUUAUGUAUUUGAAUUAUUUUUGGAAGAUUUAAUUAUUGCAUCCAUAUUCACUUGUUUUUGUAAUCGAAAGAGGCAUAACUUGUAAAAUCUUUGCAUUAUAUUAUUGCUUGAGUUCAUAGAUUCUUCUAAGUAAUCGAAAGAGUCAAGUUGAAUCAUUGAUUAAAUCUAGUUAGGAGAAUAAUCGAAAGAGGUUUUCCUAAAUACCGAUCCACUAUACAUUCUUGCACAUCUUCAUAGUGCUUAAAUUGGUUCAUCUCGUGAGGUUAAGACUUAAUCGAGAGAGGAGUUUUUGCUGAAUGUUUGAACUAAUAAUAGAGUGAAUUAGAGAGACUCACUUGAACAUUGGAAAGUGAAUUAUCUAGAGUUAGAUCCCGAACAAUUAUCUUGCACUUAUUCUGUCAAAACCCUAUCCUCUUCCACUGAUAACCCUUAAUUGCUUAUUCCUUGUUUCGAUAGUCACGAGUCAAUAGCUGUAGUCCCGGAUAGCAAUCAAGAUAGAAACUACAAGAAAACUAUUUAAAUCCACUCCAUGUGGACACGAUAUUAUACUAUACUAUCUUUGACUAGUGAGCACAAUUUAAGUGUGUGUUUUGUACUCGUCAAAUGAUCCUUCUUUGAUUUUUCAUGAGCAAGAUCGAUAGAUGCUCGUUUACCGUCGACUACCUCAUGCGCUUAUACAGUCGCCGAAUCGUUCGGGGUGGGGGGGAGGGGUGGGGGAGGGGGUGAUCAAACUCGCACGCCGGGCCAGUAAAGCCCCGUUCUCGAGUAUUGAUGAAGAUCAGGAUCGAGGCUGGCUAGGCCAUUUUGUCCGAGUGAGGACCUCGGACUUGAUCCCAGCAAAGAGCUUAUGUCGUUCCCCGAGAAGUGGAAUAUAUCAUGUAAGUAAAAUUUUAUUUUCAAAAUCUUAUUUUAUUCCUUUUUCCUUCCUUCUUAUCGGUGCUUUGUGGUGGUGCAACUGCCACUCGGGUCCCGAAUGCAGUCCCUCGACUCAAGGAGUGGGUCGAGGGCAUUGUGUUACAAAGGCCAUAUUCCGAGCGAUCAUGGCACAAACUUUAGAAGGGACGGUGGGAGGCCCGUUCUCACAGUGAGAUUCCUUUCCCGAGUAAGUAAUAUUUGGGUUCCUCUCGUGUCAUUAAGUUCUCAAUUGUUUUAUCUCCUUUUACAGGUUUAUUGUAAUGACCCGGGUGAUCGUUUUGAGUGUAUUAGCCCCGAUCCCUUAUUUACUGCAUUCCCCGUAUCUAUUUCUGCUUAUGUGACUUGCCGAGAAAUCUUGUUUUGGUUUCGGAGUGUUUCAGGACAAUUAGUCCCUAAAACGGAAGCUUAAGUCUCAGAUUUUGACCGUAGUCAGAAGUGUAUGAAGACGACUCCGGAAUGGAGUUCUAUCAGUUCUGUUAGCUCUGUUGGGUGAUUUUGGACUUAGGAGCGUGUCCGGAUUGUGAAUUUGAGGUAUGUAGCUAAUUUAGGCUUGAAAUGGCGAAAGUCGAAUGUUUAAGAAAUUUGACCGGGGGUUGACUUUUUGAUAUCGGGGUCGAAUUCUAGUUUCGAAAGUUGAAAUAGGUCUGUAAUAUUGAAUAUGACUUGUGUGCAAAAUUUGAGGUCAAUCGGGCGUGGUUUGGUAGGUUUCGGCGUCGUUUGCGGAAUUUGGAAAUUUAGAAGUUCCUAGGCUUGAAUCUGAGGGUAAUUUGGUAUUUUUAUGUUAUUUUGGGUGAUUCGAAGGUUCGACUAAGUUUAUAGGGUGUCAUAUGACUUGUUGGUAUGUUUGGUUGAGGUCCCGAGGGCCUCGGGGUGAUUCCGGGUAGUUAACGGAAGAAUUGGAGUUGAUGAAAUGCAGCUGAAGCUGCUGAUUCUGGUGUCUUCCGCACCUGCGGAGUAAGAGCCGCAGGUGCAAGCCCGAAGGAGAGACUAAGGAGCUGCAGAUGCAUCCAUGGAGGGCCUGGGCAAGAACCACAGGUGCGAAGGUAUUCCCGUACCUACGUGAGUCGUAGAUGCGGGCAGGGAGGCGCGGGUGCGAGUAUUGACCGCAGAAGCGAGAUAGUUUCCGCACCUGCGUAAGGCGCAGAUGCGGUUUUGAGGCCGCAAGAGAGAAGUCAGGAUUUUAAGUGAAAUCCGCACCUGUGAUGGAAUUUCCUCAGGUGCGGCAUUGCAGGAGCGAUCAAUGGACCGCGGGUGCGGUAUUGCUGGGUAGAAAAGCACAAGCUCGAGGUUUUGUCUUUCAUUUUCAAUUUUGGACUUGAGAUACUCGGGAGAGAGGCGAUGUUUCGAAGGUUUUCAAGGAGCAACAUUGGAGUAAGUGAUUCUAACCCAUGAUGGUAUAAAUUUCGUGAAUCCAUGGCUUUAUUCAUCACCUAAUUAGGGAUUGAAGCUAGAAAUAUAGGAGUUUAGGGCUUGAAAAUUGGAGAGUGGAUUUUGGGGAUUUGAAUAACUAAAUGAGGUCGGAUUUUGAUAUAUUUGGUAUGGUUAGACUCAUGAGUGAAUAGGCUUUCGGGUUUUGUGAUUUUUGUUGGAUUCCGAGACGUGGGGUCGGGGGCCAGGUUUGAGCUGAUUUCGGAUUUUGGCUAUAACUUAGUAUUUUUCUUGUGGAAUUGAUUCCUUUAGCUUAUAUUGAUUGUAUUGUAUUACUUGUGGCUAGAUAAGGGAUGUUCGGAGGUCGAAUUGAGAGCCAAGGGCAUUUCGGAGUAGGACUUUGCUUGGUUUGAGGUAAGUAAUGCUUUCAAACUUGGUUUUGAGGGUUCGAAACCCGGAACUAUGUGCUAUACGAUCGGUAUUGAGGUGACGCACAUGCCAAGUGACGGGCGUGCGAGCGUGCACCGUGAGAAUUGUGUCUUGGUUGAUUCCAUGGCACAGUAUAGUGACUCUAUUUUGUUGAUAUCAUGUUUAGACUUUAUGCCGGUAUUGUUGGGAUCCUUAGUGGUCAUUUCUUGCUGUCAUCCCACUGAUUUCAUUGAUAUUAUGUACUCAGUCAUGUUUAUGCAUAUCAUAUCAUAUCUCCGUCUCAGUUGUUAUUUAUUGAUACAUCAUAUCAUUGUUUCGGGCUAGUUUUCAUGAUAUUGUGAGCCCGUGAGUGAGACUAGGGAGAUUAAUGACUGAGUGAGGUUGAGAGCCUGAUUAUGAGUGACAGUUAUGGGAUCGGGCUGCACGCCGCAGCGGUUAUACUAAUUUUAUGUUAGCGCUUGGGCUGUAGGAGCCCCUCCGGAGUCUGUAACACAUCCCCAGUGAGCGCGGUUGAUAUUAUUGAAGGAUGGAUCUUCCCUAGACAUGGAUCUUGUCCGAAGUACUUGAUACUCGGAGAUAGAUCUUCUCCACGGGGCUAGAUUGUCCUUCCUCAGUACUAGGUGACUUAUACUCAGUGAUGUAUAUAUUCCAGGAUAGAUCUUCCCUGGGUCGUAUGGGCCAUAUACAGUACCGAGUGGUUGAGCAUUCGAGAGUGUAAGCACAUGAGGCUGAUAGCAUGGUGCAUCACAUACAGCAUGUGCAUUGGCAUGUAGAGAUAGCAGAGUUAUAUUCUUUGCAUUAUUCGGAUCUGCUUCACCUUACUGUUUUGAGUUGCCUAUUUAAUUUGAAAGCAUGCCUACGUUUCUGUUCAGUUAUUUCUAUUUUAUGUGUACCGGUUGAGUUCGUCACUACCUUUCAGUCCAAAGUUUGGACUUGUUACUUACUGAGUUGGAUGUACUCACGUUACUCCCUGAACCUCAUGUGCAGAUCCAGGCAUUUUUGGUCACGACGACUGUUGCUGAUUGCGGCUUCAAAAUUCGGAGACUAACAAGUAGCUGCACGGUGUUCGCAGGCCUUGACUCUUUUUUUAUCACUAGUUAUAUUUUCAGUUUGUUUCUCUAGACACUGUAGUGGACUGUAUUCUGAUUUAGACGCUCAGGUACUCUGUGACACCCCAGCUUUGGGAUGGAUUGUAUCGUAUUUUGGAUAUUUGUGUUUUCAAAAAGG